RNAcentral lists this ribosomal RNA (484 nucleotides) under uncultured bacterium. Its description in RNAcentral is "bacterial SSU rRNA". It matches the Rfam family "Bacterial small subunit ribosomal RNA", at positions 47 to 507 of the family's 1533-position model. The record is from RNAcentral.
CCUAACACAUGCAAGUCGUACGAGAAAGUCGGCUUCGGCCGAUGAGUAAAGUGGCGCACGGGUGAGUAAUGCGUGGAUAAUCUGCCCUUGAGUUCGGAAUAACGUACCGAAAGGUGCGCUAAUACCGGAUAAUACUGCACAACUACUGUUGUGUAGUCAAAGAUGGCCUCUGUUUACAAGCUUUUGCUGAAGGAUGAGUCCGCGUACCAUUAGCUAGUUGGUGGGGUAAUGGCCUACCAAAGCGACGAUGGUUAGCUGGUCUGAGAGGAUGAUCAGCCACACUGGAACUGAGACACGGUCCAGACUCCUACGGGAGGCAGCAGUGAGGAAUAUUGCGCAAUGGGGGCAACCCUGACGCAGCAACGCCGCGUGAGUGAGGAAGGUUUUCGGACCGUAAAGCUCUGUCGAGCGGGAAGAAAUGCAUGGUGGCUAAUAUUCAUCAUGCUUGACGGUACCGCUAGAGGAAGCACCGGCUAACUCCGUG